CAUUAUUGAAACUCUCGAUUGCUGUGCGCCCUCGCGGGCUGCACGCCUUCGUUUCCACACACCUGUGCACCGCUCGAGGGGGGGAGACCUCCUUCGCUUUUACAACACGCUCCAGUCCUGAAUGUAACAUCUUAUAAAAACAAAUACAACUUUCAGCAACGGAUCUCUUGGCUCUCGCAUCGAUGAAGAACGCAGCGAAAUGCGAUAAGUAAUGUGAAUUGCAGAAUUCAGUGAAUCAUCGAAUCUUUGAACGCACCUUGCACUCCGUGGCUUUCCACGGAGUACGCCCGUUCGAGUGUCACGUUAACUCUCGCCAAGGGUAAAUUUUUUUUUACCUGGAGGCGGAUUUGGACGUUGCCGGCGCGUGAGCCCGGCUCGUCUCGAAAUGCAUUAGCGAUGUGCGAUGCGCGCGCGGUGUUGAUAAUUGUCUACGCCUAGCUCGUCUCCCACGUCGCUUCCAACCGUCGUGAAGACAACCAAAUCACAGUUUGACCUCGAAUCGGGCGGGACUACCCGCUGAACUUAA
Molecule: ribosomal RNA, 526 nt
Filed under: uncultured Auriculariales
Lineage: Eukaryota; Fungi; Basidiomycota; Agaricomycetes; Auriculariales
Description: eukaryotic LSU rRNA
Rfam family: 5.8S ribosomal RNA (bases 148-301)
Source: RNAcentral